GAUGAACGCUGGCGGCGUGCCUAAUACAUGCAAGUCGAGCGAACAGAUAAGGAGCUUGCCUCGUUGACGUUAGCGGCGGGUGGGGGAGUAACACGUGGGUAACCUAUCUAUAAGCCUGGCAUACAUCCGGGAAACCUGGGCGAAUGCCGGAUAACAGUUAGAACCGCAUGGUUCUAAAGUGAACGAUGUUUUUGCUUUCACUUAUAGGUGUACCCGGGCCGUAUGAGCUAGUUGGUAAGGUAACGGCUUACCAAGGCAACGAUACGUAGCCGACCUGAGAGGGUGAUCAGCCACACUGGAACUGAGACACGGUCCAGACUCCUACGGGAGGCAGCAGUAGGGAAUCUUCCACAAUGGGCGAAAGCCUGACGGAGCAACGCCGCGUGAGUGAUGAAGGUCUUCGGAUCGUAAAACUCUGUUAUUAGGGAAGAACAAAUGUGUAAGUAUCUCUGCACGUCUUGACGGUACCUAAUCAGAAAGCCACGGCUAACUACGUG
RNAcentral lists this ribosomal RNA (497 nucleotides) under uncultured bacterium. RNAcentral describes it as "partial 16S ribosomal RNA". It matches the Rfam family "Bacterial small subunit ribosomal RNA", at positions 28 to 507 of the family's 1533-position model. The record is from RNAcentral.